This 252-nucleotide ribosomal RNA is filed under the name uncultured bacterium. Its description in RNAcentral is "partial 16S ribosomal RNA". It matches the Rfam family "Bacterial small subunit ribosomal RNA", at positions 524 to 776 of the family's 1533-position model. The record is from RNAcentral.
UACGUAGGGGGCAAGCGUUGUCCGGAUUUAUUGGGCGUAAAGCGCGCGCAGGCGGUUCUUUAAGUCUGGUGUCUAAGUGCGGGGCUCAACCCCGUGAUGCACUGGAAACUGGGGAACUUGAGUGCAGAAGAGGAGAGCGGAAUUCCACGUGUAGCGGUGAAAUGCGUAGAGAUGUGGAGGAACACCAGUGGCGAAGGCGACUCUUUGGCCUGUAACUGACGCUGAGGCGCGAAAGCGUGGGGAGCAAACAGG